Long non-coding RNA from Bubalus bubalis (water buffalo), 4852 nucleotides. RefSeq lists it as uncharacterized. NCBI's taxonomy places the organism in Eukaryota, Metazoa, Chordata, Mammalia, Artiodactyla, Bovidae. The transcript has 2 exons. The record is from RefSeq and is a predicted model, not a curated record.
UUCAGAAGCCCCAGAGACGGUCUCAGAGGUUUAAGGAGCCUGGGUUUCUAUGUAUCCUCCUCCCUGAUAGAAAAAGAAGAUGUUUCUCGCUGUGGGCUUCAGCCUUGUGCUUUUCUACAAGGGUGUGCUGUGUAACCAAGUGACCCAGAGUCCCCCGGAGCAGAGAGUGGCGAGUGGCAGUCAGGUGACAUUGCUCUGCACCUUCCAAACCACAUAUUCAGAUCCAGACUUAUACUGGUACCGAAAAAGGCCAGAUGGUGUCUUCCAGUUUGUCCUGUACAGGGACAACACUAGAUCCCGUGAUGCAGAUUUUGCUCGGGGUAGAUUUACCGUGCAGCAUAGCGUGAGCCACAAAACCUUCCACUUGAUGAUCUCCUCUGUGAGGCCUGAAGACAUUGCUACUUACUACUGUGCUUUGAGACUCCCACGGUGAUGCAGGCGCCCAGGAAGUGUGCACACAAACCCCUGGGCACAGCCUGGCAGAGCUGCUUCUCUGGGCAGCUCAUGUCCUUGAACAUGGCAUCCUUCUUCCCCGUCAUUCUGUGGUCCAGUCUGGCCUUGGGAGGUGCCCUAGCGUGCCUGCCAAAUACGAAAAAGCCUGGUCACUUGCAGGGGAGCACCCCGACUUCCAAUGGAGGAGAUGUCGCUCCACUUCAUAGAGGGCCCUUGAUGCCCCAGUGUCUGUCUGAGGAACCCUGGUGCCUGGGUUGUGCCUGAUACAGAGAAGGGCUUGACAGGGAUGUGCUGUGUGCCCUGGGCAGACAGCCAGAUGGGGUGGGUGGGGGUCCAAUCUAAAGAGAGCCCAUUGGAAGUGUGCUUAUUUUAUCUCCAUCAUUUACCCAUUGUUGGAAUUGGCCUGUUUCCCUUUUAAGAUUCAAAUUGGACACAAAGUUAUUUACUUUAAAAAAUUUCCGCAGUUUACCUUUCAUGCACAUCUUCUUGAGCAGUCACCUUGUUUCUCUGGGAUGUUCUUUGGUACCUCCUUUUUACUUUGUCUGGAGAAUAUUUUCCUUUCACCAAAGAGCAUUGAGAUAUUCCCAGAAAGCUGUCUGUGAAAACCAGAAUCCCAGCUUCAAAGUUCCUGAGUUUGGAGCCCAGUGGCAUCCCCAGGGGAGAGAAUUACCUCCAGGCAAAACCAAGAUGUGAUGUCAAAAAUAGAUACACCCUCAGCCCUGGGAUUGCACCCCUCCUUCCUCUACUACUGAUGUUUCUGCCUUAAUACAACUAUUGGAGUUAUUACGUGUAACCUUAGAAAUAGAAGUCUUGAUGGUGGUGGUUGAGUUGCUAAGUCGUGUGGGACUCUUUUGUGACCCCAUGGACUGUGGCCACCAGACUCCUUCAUCCUUGGAAUUCUCUAGGCAAGAAUACUGGAGUGGGUUGCCAUUUCUUCUCCAGGGGAUCUUCCUGACCCAGGGAUUGAACCAGUCUCCUGCAUUGCAGGUGGAUUGUUUAUGGCUGAUCCACUAGGGAAGCCCUAGUAGAAGCGUUAGACGUUAUUUUAUAGGAAAAGCCCAGAGAAGUGAGGGACAAUCAGAAGAUCACUGAGCUGGUUAAUGACUGAGCCAAGGGAGCAUAUCUGGGUGCUCCCAUGCAGCUGUGCCCUAGGAGGCUGUAGCAGUAAGUAGCUUGGGCAGCAGUUUGUCUGGGCUUGAGCACAGGCAAGUGGAGAGUAGUCACUAUAGAGAGGGAAGGAAAGAACAUGGGUGAGGGAGCCAAAGUUUCAGGCAAAUGACUCAGCUUCUGGGGCUUCUGUUCUGCCACCUACUGAGUGUGUGUAAUACUCUUCUGUAAACUCCUUUUGGGUCCUUGUGGGACUUGAGAUUCUGCAUGUGAAAGCUCUGGAAACCUAUAAUCCAUGGCGGCAAGGUCCCCACACCUGAAGGCAGCCACAGUCCCCUCUGGCUCCAGCCUUAAAUCUUUUCUGGAGGGUCCCUUUGGUGGAAGAAAUUCAUAGUCCUAUAAAAUGCUGGUUGCCUUUUGCUGAUGAUCAAAGUGGGCCAGUGGGUGGCUCAUUCAUAUGCUAAGUGCAGGACUGUUUGAAUUUGGAGUUGGCACCCCUGAUAACUUGGUUCUGCUCCCAGAAAUAUCCCUGCCCCAUUGAAUGACUUCGGACGUGGUACACAACUUUUUGGGGGGCAUUUUUUUUCCAUCUGCAAAAUGAGUCUAUGAUCUUUUAGUUUUUAGCAACUUCAGAGAAAUACUCUAAGAAUGGCCUAAGGUAACAGAUGCACAUGUUUUGGAAAUAGGCAUUCUUGAUGCCCAUGAGGUGAAGAUGUGUGGAAUCUUCUAGUGGCUUUUCCCAGGAUAGAUCUGGCUUAUCCAUCUAGAUUGUCCUAAACUCACUGACUCAGAAUGCAGCUGCCUGUUUUCUUUGGUUUGGGGUGUGAGGACCUGAUGCGGCAGUCUGCAGAUGGCAAAGGCGGGGGAGUUGUGGGUGAGCCUUGUUCUUUCACUUGUCACCUCAUGAGUCUCAGCUGACACCCCACACAGGUGCUGAGGCACCCACAAUGCUGGGUUUCUAGGCCUCUGCUACCCGUGUUCCUGCAGAGGGAUAAAGCUGGCCUUGCCGAGGUGAGAGGAGCAGAGGUCAGUGGCCACAUGCGGGGAGGGGCGCUGCCGUUGUAGCAGCCACAGCAACAGCAGGAAACCCAGGGGCUGGGCUAGGGGCCCCGGAAGCUGUGGUGUGACCUAUGAGCUCAGUUUGGUUUUUGUCUGACUACUAGUGAAUUCACAGCCCCCCACUUCCUCCCUGCAGUAGUCUGCAAUAAAUAAAGCCAGAAGCAAGGUACAUACAAUGCACUUUAAUACAUGCAACAGAGACAAAGAAAAACGGCAGAAAACCAUCAACACCAAAGAUCCAAUGCCCUCAAAUUCCCCUUGUACAGAUGGGCAGGCAAGGGGUCAGGAAGACUUUGGUUUUACAGGGAAAUAUUGGGGACUCAUUCCUAUCCCUCCCUCCAAAAAUACUUGCACAGUGAGUUGCUUGAAAGCAAGACCCAUGUCUUACUUAUUUUUGCACUCUCAGCACAGUGCCUGGAACUUGCAAUAAUUCACGUUUGUUAAGUUGAGGAAAGCAAUCUCCUCUGCAUUUUACUCUGAUCUCUGCUAAUAGCUCUGAGAGUAUUUAGAUGAGACCCCAUUGCCUACAAAGAGAGUAUUAGGGAGUCAAGUGUUGCUUUGUUUCUCAAGUAUUAGGGAAAGCAGAAAGUGCUUUUGUGGAUGUGAACGCUAGUUUGGGCAAAUCUAGUGCUGGGUUGAGCAGAGGCUUUUACAUUUAGGUAGAAGGACACCCGCUCUCCUUUCCCCAAGAGGAUCUAUUUUUCCUCUUGGAGGAUGGAGCUGGGAACUGGAUGGGUCCCACUUUCUAGUUCUGGAGGCAAAGAAAGUCAAAGGAACAAAACACCACUUUCAAAGUAUGUCAGUCAUAGGGAAAAAAAUGAGUCCUAUGUACCUUCAUAUCUCUUAUCCCUUUAUAAAGCAGCAUAUAAAACAGUUGGGGCCAUAAGCCCCCAUUCCCCAGGACUUCUGUCUUUCAUCAGGCUGAAGGAUAAGCUGGGUUUGUUGCCUUUAAAGGAAAACCAGUUUGGGGAGCAGCCAUUUAAGCAAGGCUGGGAUGGGUCAACUUGAAUCACGAAAAAGUUGAAAGCCUAGGAGAUAGCUUCUCUGUAGGCUUUUGGUUUCUUUCAGGGAAUGCAGCCUUCUCAUGCCAGUCAGCCUGCAAAUGAAGGAAGACUGUCAGAGCUAUAGAAUCAUAGACCUUCGGUGCUGGAAGGAAUCGUAGUAGUCAUGGGGAAGGUCAGUACUUGCUAUGGUUGUACCAUUGCAGACAUCACUAACCUAUCCUGGCACAUUUCCCUUCUACACAUGGUGAUAGUUCAGCUAGUCACUAUCAGUUUAUCAGUGUUGACACCAGUUACAAAACCUAUCUGCUCUCCUUUAGUUAUUUUUCACUCCUUUGCAUUACAGAUGUGAUAACCCAGGUCCAACACGGUGAAGAAAACUGGCUCAGGUAUUGCAGUGAGUUAGUGACAAAGUUGGAACGAAAAUCUAGUGCUUCUGAUUCCUACUGAGGUCAGAAGGUCCUUUUCAUGUAGCCAUUUGGCCUGUGUCCUGGGGACGGUUGGUAAAACACUCACCUGUUGGGGAAUGACUGAGGAUGCUUGCAGGCUAGGUUGGGUAAGUCCAACACACUAAGUCUAGGAUUGUCCUUAGAUCAGGAGCUGGGACUGAGGGGUGUCUGGGGGCACUGGAGAAGGAGCUUUAUAGGCAAACCUAAGUUCUGGUUCAAAUUUCAUGUCUAAGAUACUCAGGCCACCUGAUGCGAAGAGCUAAUUCAUUGGAAAAGACCCUGAUGCUGGGAAAGAUUGAGGGCAAGAGAAGAAAGUGGCGGCAGAGGAUGAGAUGGUUAGAUAACAUUAUUGACUCAAUGGACAUAAGUUUGAGCAAACUCCGGGAGAUAGUGAAGGACAGGGAAGUGGGGCGUGCUGCAGUCCUUGGAGUCUCAAAGAAUCAGACAUGACUUAGCGACUGAACAAUAACAAGAUAACCAGGAGAGGGAAUGCAAGUGACCGGCAAAUAAUUCACAUCUCAUCCUCAAUUUGUAUGCAUCCUGAGAGGUUACUAGUGAGCUGUUCACUACGAAUAGGAGUGUAGGUUCAUCCCAAAGAUAGGCUGGUAGACCCAUUGAGUCCUAUGACUAAGGAUUAAGAACUGGCAUCACCUUUGUCUGGCAAAGACAAGUUCUGCUUCCCUGAAUAUUCUUCAAGUGAGCCUUUACUGAUGGUCUCUCAAAAAGCCCAUGGUCCUUUGGCCAUAUACACAAAAAUAGCAAUAAAGAAAAAGAUUUUUCCUG